ACUCCCCACCCGGUUUCCACAUUCUGCUACAAAUCAACACCAAAUCCGACUUCCUUAGUCUGCUUCUGCACAUCAUCGACAAAGCCUGUUCCCUGACACCUUCCCACCGUUUUCCGGACGCAAAAAUAUUGAGAAGACCUCCCUGUAUGCGCUACAGAUCCUGCACCGGGCUCUCAAAACACAGGAUGGUGAAUUUUUGGGCUUCGAAGCAGCCAAAAACUGACACGUAGCAGUCGGAGAUGGUGGUUUACUGCAGUAUCCGGAACAGCCUUCGAAGGACGGCAAAAAAGGCCCGGCAAAAUAAAAAGAUCAAAAAGGCCGUUCGCAGAUGAAAAGGAAAAGUCACAGGAAAAGCUUUUGGCAGCCAACCCCUUGAGUAACGACACCGAACACGCAGGCCUUCAUAUAGCGCUGAAAAAGAUAAUCAAACUUGACCCAGAACAUCGGCAAAACGACGAGCAAGCAUCUCAGUUUGGCCAGGCUGUGAUACAGUGUCUACCGGAGGAAUCUGUAAAAACAUGGAUUGUUCGGAACCGGCCCUGCUUCCUGCUGCUUCUGAGCUUUGAGCUGAGGGUGAUUGAUGAAGUGAGUCGGGCCCACCCUGCAUUUAGGAAGCGACCAGGACUCCCCAAUGCCAGCCGGAAUGGCAAUGGAUUGAUUUU
Long non-coding RNA from Uranotaenia lowii, 662 nucleotides. RefSeq lists it as uncharacterized. The transcript is spliced from 3 exons. NCBI's taxonomy places the organism in Eukaryota, Metazoa, Arthropoda, Insecta, Diptera, Culicidae. The record is from RefSeq and is a predicted model, not a curated record.